UAACACCUUCCCCUUGGGAUAAUUUCAAGCUCUUACACUAUCUGUGGUUACUAAACAUAGUAAUAUAUGAACCCUAUAGGUUCCCUAGUUCACCUUAAACCGUUAGGUGACAACUCUUAAAAAAAAAGCAAACCCUCUUCUCGAAAGGAAAGAGUUGUCCCAUACCAAAAAAUAUUAUAAACCCGAUUUCCGCGGAAGGAACAACGAGGGGUGCGACAACCAUUGUAGAUGUCGUCCCAAGUAGUCAUUGGAUACUUUAUUAAUUGAUUCAGAAGCUUUCUGGCCUCACUCAAACCUUCUCUCCUUAACCAAUUCUGAAAGGCUGCCAAGAUAUCUUUUCGGAAACAUUUGGUAAGGUCAUCCUCACACUGUUCAAUUGGGCGAUGAAGUCCCUCAAUCCCUAUCUUAGGGAUUGCUUAAUGGAUAAGAUGUCAUUUACUCUUGUUUCAACAUUCUUAGCCACGACAUGGGCUAUCAAAAAUUUGUCAUCUAUCUCCUACAAUUCUUCUAUAUAUCGGGAUGGUAACUAUGAAUACUAUAUCAACACCCCUCAAGUGAAGGUAUCGCUAAUUGUUUUUAGCAAGAUUGAGGACACCUAGUAUUUGGUUAGGUCAUUUCCUUUCACAGCAGUAACGUAGUGAGUCACAUGAUCUUCAAGGUCGGUCAUCAUGUCGCAGGUUGUGAGAUAUGGGGGCAUCUUGAAGGUCUUUGGUAUAUAAUACGAGAUCUCUUCUUUGUUUUACGGUUGUUCCACAAAUAUUCUUACAUCUCUUUUUGGUAAUAAUUUAGGGGCACCGUGUAUUUUGUCUACCCGUUCUCGGUGCUCUCUCAUUUGGUAUUUUAGUGCUUUGUUCUCCUUUUCCACUUUCUCCAUUAUUUAUAGCAUGGCAAGGACGAUGUCACAUGCAUUGUCAGUAAUCGUAUCAGUUUUACUUGGCGUCAGGCGGUCUACUUGGUCGUUUUGUUGGUUCCACAUUGUAUUGCAUGGAUUAUCGUGGUUUCUGUGGUCCAACAUGGAUCUUGUUUACUGAGUAUGCUGACUAGAGUGUCAGUUAGAUAUGCUUCAAGGAGAUUUUUCCUAAUAGGUAGCUCCUUUUCUGCCGUGGAUAUGGAGACUCAUUUCCCAUUUCUGUAAUAAUAAAUGAUAUACGCUGGCAUUUAUGUAAAUAAAUGCAAGUGAGGUAACCUAAAAAGGGCAAGAUUCUAUUGUUUUAUCUUGACAAUGGUGAAUGAU
Molecule: long non-coding RNA, 1234 nt
Filed under: Nicotiana benthamiana
Lineage: Eukaryota; Viridiplantae; Streptophyta; Magnoliopsida; Solanales; Solanaceae
Description: long non-coding RNA (NBEN_LNC024298)
Source: RNAcentral